CCUACGGGGUGCAGCAGUGGGGGAUAUUGGGCAAUGGGCGCAAGCCUGACCCAGCAAUGCCGCGUGAAGGAAGAAGGCUUUCGGGUUGUAAACUUCUUUGACAGGGGAAGAGCAGAAGACGGUACCCUGAAAACAAGCCACGGCUAACUACGUGCCAGCAGCCGCGGUAAUACGUAGGUGGCAAGCGUUGUCCGGAUUUACUGGGUGUAAAGGGCGUGUAGCCGGGAAGGCAAGUCAGAUGUGAAAUCCGGAGGCUCAACCUCCGAAUUGCAUUUGAAACUGUUUUUCUUGAGUACUGGAGAGGCAGACGGAAUUCCUUGUGUAGCGGUGAAAUGCGUAGAUAUUAGGAGGAACACCAGUUGCGAAGGCGGCUCUCUGGACUGUAACUGACACUGAGGCACGAAAGCGUGGGGAGCAAACAGGAUUAGAUACCCCAGUAGUC
RNAcentral lists this ribosomal RNA (442 nucleotides) under uncultured bacterium. RNAcentral's name for it is "partial 16S ribosomal RNA". It matches the Rfam family "Bacterial small subunit ribosomal RNA", at positions 338 to 795 of the family's 1533-position model. The record is from RNAcentral.